RNAcentral lists this ribosomal RNA (301 nucleotides) under uncultured bacterium. RNAcentral's name for it is "partial 16S ribosomal RNA". It matches the Rfam family "Bacterial small subunit ribosomal RNA", at positions 509 to 807 of the family's 1533-position model. The record is from RNAcentral.
CAGCCGCCGCGGUAAUACGUAGGGUGCGAGCGUUAAUCGGAAUUACUGGGCGUAAAGCGUGCGCAGGCGGUGCUGCAAGACCGAUGUGAAAGCCCCGGGCUUAACCUGGGAACUGCAUUGGUGACUGCAGCGCUGGAGUAUGGCAGAGGGGGGUUGAAUUCCACGUGUAGCAGUGAAAUGCGUAGAGAUGUGGAGGAACACCGAUGGCGAAGGCAGCCCCCUGGGCCAAUACUGACGCUCAUGCACGAAAGCGUGUGGAGCAAACAGGAUUAGAUACCCCUGUAGUCCCUGUCUCUUAUAC